UACGGAGGGGGCUAGCGUUGUUCGGAAUUACUGGGCGUAAAGCGCACGUAGGCGGCUUGAAAAGUUGGGGGUGAAAGCCCGGAGCUCAACUCCGGAAUUGCCUUCAAAACUCUCAAGCUGGAGUUCGGAAGAGGAGAGUGGAAUUCCCAGUGUAGAGGUGAAAUUCGUAGAUAUUGGGAAGAACACCAGUGGCGAAGGCGGCUCUCUGGUCCGAUACUGACGCUGAGGUGCGAAAGCGUGGGGAGCAAACAGG
Molecule: ribosomal RNA, 253 nt
Filed under: uncultured Alphaproteobacteria bacterium
Lineage: Bacteria; Pseudomonadati; Pseudomonadota; Alphaproteobacteria
Description: partial 16S ribosomal RNA
Rfam family: Bacterial small subunit ribosomal RNA
Source: RNAcentral